UAUAAACCAUGAACUUUCUGCUCUUUUUUAAACAACAGAGAGGGCAGUCAUCUUGUUGACACUCAGAGUUACAGAGGAGGAUGAGAGUGGAGAUGCCACAAAAAGCAGCUUUUGAGAGAGGUUCUCCUGAAGAUGAGAACUUGUGAAGGGGCUCCUUCGUGGCCCAAGUCCAUUCACUGUCAUAUGUCUGCUAGUGUGUGAUGUCUGGGAGAAGCUGGAAGUGAAAAAUAAUCAUCUGAAGUUGGGAUUUUUCUUAAUACAGUGUAAUCUGUUCCAGUUAACUAAAACAUACUGCAUUUUCAGGAGGGGAUAUUUCUGUGUCUAAUUCUAUGAAAAUUGAAAGGAAGUUCUCUUAUCUUCUUUGCAAUCUCAAGUGUGUAUUUCUAGGUAUUUGAGCAAGUGAAGUAAAAUAACGGCUUUAAAUUGUAAUUUCUUGCUUUCUGGAUAAUUUAGAUAACCCUUUAAAAGCUACCCUAGAAAAAUGUACAGCUACUUUCUCAUCCUGUAGAAAAGGAAGUUUUCAAGAUAAUUUUCAGAUUUAUUUUGUUUAAGUUGAUAUAUCUAUAUAGACAGAAUACAAGGAAGGUCCAAAAGUGGAAAAAAUGGUUAGAUGAACUGUGCAGCUGAACUGUACCUCCACUGCACUGUAUUAUGGCAGUGGAAGGCAAUUACUAACAAACUGUUUAACAGCAGGGGAAAAACUUCUCUUGUUGGGUGUCGUUCAGUAAGGUGCAGUUGCAAGAAACAGUUUGUCAUUUGAUCCCUAUGUGCUCUCCAUAUUACAUGUAUAAUGCAGGGUAUGAUUUAAGAGUAUUUUAUAGCUAUUGCUUCAAAGAAACUGCUUGCUAAUGCAUAUUGAGCUCUUUUUAUUAAAAAAAAAAAAAGUAAUAAUAAAAACGUAUGUGGAGAUGACUUAAAGAAAGCAGACUUGUGGACUGCUUCCACUCAGGUUACAUAAGGUAAUAUUUUGCUGUCUUACAUCAUGUCUGUUUAAAUUGUUAGGAAGCUUAGGAUUACACCAUUUCCUAGGGUUUAUAUAAUUAGAAGCUUGGGUUGAGCUAUAAAAUUAAGUACUUAUACUGGUAUGGUCAGCUUUAAUCUUGCUAACUGAAACUGUGCUGGACUGGUUUGCAUGGCCAGACAUUCCCACCUCUAGCAGAAGUGGAAAUGCAACUGUUAUACAGCACUUCAGCAAGACAAACUUUUUAAAGCACAGUACAAUUUUCCUUCUCAGUUUUGUUGCAAGAUUUGAAUAUUUUUGGUCCCUUUUAUAAUAGAUAAGAAAAAUGUAACUGGAUAUGAAAAAUAUGAAAUUUCGUCUGUUUUCACUGUUGAAACUUUGAAAGAUUUAAGUAAGCAAGCUGUGAAUGAAGGUGCUUUUUAACCCAAACUGUCAUUAGCUAUGUCCCCUGGAUGUUAAAAAUAAUCAAAACUUGCAGAUCAGCAAAAUGUUUCUGCCUGUUUGAGGAUUCCAAGUCUACUGUUGCCCCAACAGUAGGGUAUUAGUAGAUAAAUGUACCUGUUCUAGCUGUUUAUUCUUGGGGUUGGUAUGAAUUUGUAGUAUGUUGGAACAGAUGCGUUGGCACUGUUGGACUGAAAUCUCUGGCACAUACUAACCUGGUGAUGGCAGGAACAACUCUCACAGCUGUGAUGUCCUUCUGCUGCUGAUGCACAGCUAGUAGCCUCUCAAUAGAAUGGGAUGGUUGUGUUGGGCCAGAAACCUAGUCUUGAGACUGUUGUUGCUCUCAAUCAAAUUUUGUACGUUCUGCAAUUAAAUUACAAGGUGCCCUUGGACUGUGCAAGCAGAAUGGGGCUGUUGGAUCCUGAGGUUGUACUCAAUACAGUGCAGCAGCAGCCUCAAUUUCCAGUAUGGAAUGGCAAAGAAAAGCCAAAUGGGAAAAUCAAUGAGAAACCUUUCAUAGUUUAUUGAGGCAUAUUAAAGGGUGCA
RNAcentral lists this long non-coding RNA (1948 nucleotides) under Gallus gallus (chicken). RNAcentral describes it as "lncRNA (ENSGALG00010024059.1)". Lineage: Eukaryota; Metazoa; Chordata; Aves; Galliformes; Phasianidae. The record is from RNAcentral.